GGGGCGGUGGCGGAAUUGGCAGACGCAGCGGACUUAAAAUCCGCCGGGCCCAAGCCCUUGUGGGUUCGAGUCCCACCCGCCCUA
RNAcentral lists this transfer RNA (84 nucleotides) under Anaerolineae bacterium. RNAcentral's name for it is "tRNA-Leu". It matches the Rfam family "tRNA". From Rfam's summary of the family: Transfer RNA (tRNA) molecules are approximately 80 nucleotides in length. Their secondary structure includes four short double-helical elements and three loops (D, anti-codon, and T loops). Further hydrogen bonds mediate the characteristic L-shaped molecular structure. tRNAs have two regions of fundamental functional importance: the anti-codon, which is responsible for specific mRNA codon recognition, and the 3' end, to which the tRNAs corresponding amino acid is attached (by aminoacyl-tRNA synthetases). tRNAs cope with the degeneracy of the genetic code in two manners: having more than one tRNA (with a specific anti-codon) for a particular amino acid; and 'wobble' base-pairing, i.e. permitting non-standard base-pairing at the 3rd anti-codon position. RNAcentral also lists the same sequence under 2 other names. The record is from RNAcentral. Lineage: Bacteria; Bacillati; Chloroflexota; Anaerolineae.